GUAGUCUCGCACAGAUGCAUAUCAAUAAGCGGAGGAAAAGAAACUAACAAGGAUUCCCCUAGUAACGGCGAGUGAAGCGGGAAGAGCUCAAAUUUGAAAUCUUAAAGAGUUUCCCUUUACGAAUUGUAGUUUAAAGAAGUGUUUUCUGUUGAGGUUUUGGUAAAAGUUCUUUGGAAUAGGACAUCAUAGAGGGUGAGAAUCCCGUAUUUGACCUUUACUUUCAACUUUGUGAUACACUUUCAAAGAGUCGGAUUGUUUGGGAAUGCAGUCCAAAAUGGGUGGUAAAUUUCAUCUAAAGCUAAAUAUUGGCGAGAGACCGAUAGCGAACAAGUACCGUGAGGGAAAGAUGAAAAGAACUUUGAAAAGAGAGUUAAACAGUACGUGAAAUUGUCAAAAGGGAAGCGUUUGACACCAGUGUUGUUUUUCUGAAAAUCAAUUAAAGAACUGUUUAUGCUAAGCUGUUUAGACUUUAUCAGCUAUCUGUUUAGUUUUGAGCUUUUCUUUAAUGCACUUUUCAGUUAACAAGUCAACAUCAAUUUCUUUUGCUGUAAAAAAGCUUGAGGAAGGUGGCUUGAGAUUCGUCUUAAGUGUUUAUAGCCUCUUGCCUAUGCAGUCGGAGAGAUUGAGGUCUGCAGCGUAGAUCCUUCGGGGCUAAAUGCAUUUGUGCUAAGUUAUAGCAUUUUAUAGACAACUUGUUGACUAUGAUUUGUCUUGUAGCUUACUCGCUUAUGUUAUUUUACCUACGCUUAGGAUGUUGACAGCAGUAUAGACUGU
RNAcentral lists this ribosomal RNA (774 nucleotides) under uncultured Neocallimastigales. Its description in RNAcentral is "partial large subunit ribosomal RNA". It matches the Rfam family "Eukaryotic large subunit ribosomal RNA", at positions 24 to 634 of the family's 3401-position model. Lineage: Eukaryota; Fungi; Neocallimastigomycota; Neocallimastigomycetes; Neocallimastigales. The record is from RNAcentral.